GUAGGUGGCGAGCGUUAUCCGGAAUGAUUGGGCGUAAAGGGUGCGUAGGUGGCAGAUCAAGUCUGGAGUAAAAGGUAUGGGCUCAACCCGUACUGGCUCUGGAAACUGAUCAGCUAGAGAACAGAAGAGGACGGCGGAACUCCAUGUGUAGCGGUAAAAUGCGUAGAUAUUAGGAGGAAUACCGGUGGCGAAGGCGACUUGCUGGACUUCAACUGACGCUGAGGAACGAAAGCGUGGGUAGCAAACAGGAUUAGAUACCCUAGUAGUCCACGCCGUAAACGAUGAGAACUAGGUGUUGGGGGAAUAACUCAGUGCCGCAGUUAACGCAGUAAGUUCUCCGCCUGGGGAGU
Molecule: ribosomal RNA, 350 nt
Filed under: uncultured bacterium
Lineage: Bacteria
Description: bacterial SSU rRNA
Rfam family: Bacterial small subunit ribosomal RNA
Source: RNAcentral